GUAUAGGUUUAAUGACUGCUUGCGCAAUCGUUAAAAGACAUUCUGUAACUUUAUAGUGUAUAUGAAAACAUAGCCUUUGAAAAAGCAAAAGCAAGGCAGGAGAAGGGCUUGCACCCAGUCCCCCAAACCGCAUUGCUGCGAGAGAGUUCACUUUGCUUUUCAAAGACUACAAAAGGUGCACAAGAGAAGAUAAAUAGUAUGGAACGAGCACAUGCUCAGUGAAGAGCCAGCAUCAGAACCAACGUAUUCAAUAAUGAUCCUUCCGCAGGUUCACCUACGGAAA
Molecule: unclassified non-coding RNA, 283 nt
Filed under: uncultured fungus
Lineage: Eukaryota; Fungi
Description: sequence contains ITS1
Source: RNAcentral